UACGUAGGGUGCGAGCGUUGUCCGGAAUUAUUGGGCGUAAAGAGCUUGUAGGCGGUUUGUCGCGUCUGCUGUGAAAAUCCGGGGCUCAACCCCGGACUUGCAGUGGGUACGGGCAGACUAGAGUGUGGUAGGGGAGACUGGAAUUCCUGGUGUAGCGGUGAAAUGCGCAGAUAUCAGGAGGAGCACCGGUGGCGAAGGCGGCAUCCUGGACCGGCAUUAACGCUGAGGAGCGAAAGCCAGGGGAGCAAACGGG
RNAcentral lists this ribosomal RNA (253 nucleotides) under uncultured bacterium. Its description in RNAcentral is "partial 16S ribosomal RNA". It matches the Rfam family "Bacterial small subunit ribosomal RNA", at positions 524 to 776 of the family's 1533-position model. The record is from RNAcentral.